RNAcentral lists this ribosomal RNA (1488 nucleotides) under Arthrobacter sp. TD3. RNAcentral's name for it is "bacterial SSU rRNA". It matches the Rfam family "Bacterial small subunit ribosomal RNA". Lineage: Bacteria; Bacillati; Actinomycetota; Actinomycetes; Micrococcales; Micrococcaceae. The record is from RNAcentral.
AGAGUUUGAUCAUGGCUCAGGAUGAACGCUGGCGGCGUGCUUAACACAUGCAAGUCGAACGAUGAAGCCCAGCUUGCUGGGUGGAUUAGUGGCGAACGGGUGAGUAACACGUGAGUAACCUGCCCCCGACUCUGGGAUAAGCCCGGGAAACUGGGUCUAAUACCGGAUAUGACCUCGCACCGCAUGGUGCGGGGUGGAAAGAUUUAUCGGUGGGGGAUGGACUCGCGGCCUAUCAGCUUGUUGGUGAGGUAAUGGCUCACCAAGGCGACGACGGGUAGCCGGCCUGAGAGGGUGACCGGCCACACUGGGACUGAGACACGGCCCAGACUCCUACGGGAGGCAGCAGUGGGGAAUAUUGCACAAUGGGCGAAAGCCUGAUGCAGCGACGCCGCGUGAGGGAUGACGGCCUUCGGGUUGUAAACCUCUUUCAGUAGGGAAGAAGCGAAAGUGACGGUACCUGCAGAAGAAGCGCCGGCUAACUACGUGCCAGCAGCCGCGGUAAUACGUAGGGCGCAAGCGUUAUCCGGAUUUAUUGGGCGUAAAGAGCUCGUAGGCGGUUUGUCGCGUCUGCCGUGAAAGUCCGAGGCUCAACCUCGGAUCUGCGGUGGGUACGGGCAGACUAGAGUGAUGUAGGGGAGACUGGAAUUCCUGGUGUAGCGGUGAAAUGCGCAGAUAUCAGGAGGAACACCGAUGGCGAAGGCAGGUCUCUGGGCAUUUACUGACGCUGAGGAGCGAAAGCAUGGGGAGCGAACAGGAUUAGAUACCCUGGUAGUCCAUGCCGUAAACGUUGGGCACUAGGUGUGGGGGACAUUCCACGUUUUCCGCGCCGUAGCUAACGCAUUAAGUGCCCCGCCUGGGGAGUACGGCCGCAAGGCUAAAACUCAAAGGAAUUGACGGGGGCCCGCACAAGCGGCGGAGCAUGCGGAUUAAUUCGAUGCAACGCGAAGAACCUUACCAAGGCUUGACAUGUGCCAGACCGCCUCAGAGAUGGGGUUUCCCUUCGGGGCUGGUUCACAGGUGGUGCAUGGUUGUCGUCAGCUCGUGUCGUGAGAUGUUGGGUUAAGUCCCGCAACGAGCGCAACCCUCGUUCCAUGUUGCCAGCACGUAGUGGUGGGGACUCAUGGGAGACUGCCGGGGUCAACUCGGAGGAAGGUGGGGAUGACGUCAAAUCAUCAUGCCCCUUAUGUCUUGGGCUUCACGCAUGCUACAAUGGCCGGUACAAUGGGUUGCGAUACUGUGAGGUGGAGCUAAUCCCUAAAAGCCGGUCUCAGUUCGGAUUGGGGUCUGCAACUCGACCCCAUGAAGUCGGAGUCGCUAGUAAUCGCAGAUCAGCAACGCUGCGGUGAAUACGUUCCCGGGCCUUGUACACACCGCCCGUCAAGUCACGAAAGUUGGUAACACCCGAAGCCGAUGGCCUAACCACCUUGUGUGGGGGGAGUCGUCGAAGGUGGGACUGGCGAUUGGGACUAAGUCGUAAAAAGGUAGCCG